AGGUGUUCGCGCGACUGGCGAGAUCAGAUGGGGCACCAUCGGGGAACGCGAACGAGCAGCUGCCGCUCGCCUGGGCACCCAAC
Molecule: non-coding RNA, 83 nt
Filed under: Devosia sp. Root413D1
Lineage: Bacteria; Pseudomonadati; Pseudomonadota; Alphaproteobacteria; Hyphomicrobiales; Devosiaceae
Also listed under: 1 other name
Description: ZMP/ZTP riboswitch aptamer (pfl RNA motif)
Rfam family: ZMP/ZTP riboswitch aptamer (pfl RNA motif)
About the family: Previously known as pfl RNA. ZMP is also known as AICAR.
Source: Rfam by way of RNAcentral